CCGAAGCCUCCGUGCACCUCAUCAUAGCCACCAGCAUCAGCCCCAAUAUGGCCAUUAAAGUCACCCAAUAAGUAACUUCUCAGAUUGAGGAAUACUACUCACCAUAUCAUCCAAGUCCUCCCAACAGCGCCUCUUGGCCUCCUCGUCUAGACCCGCUUGCGGCGCGUAAGCGCUGAUGACGUUGAGAACGCCACCCUCAAUAACCAGCUUAAUAGAC
RNAcentral lists this long non-coding RNA (217 nucleotides) under Nicotiana benthamiana. Its description in RNAcentral is "long non-coding RNA (NBEN_LNC000524)". Lineage: Eukaryota; Viridiplantae; Streptophyta; Magnoliopsida; Solanales; Solanaceae. The record is from RNAcentral.